RNAcentral lists this ribosomal RNA (637 nucleotides) under uncultured Bacilli bacterium. Its description in RNAcentral is "bacterial SSU rRNA". It matches the Rfam family "Bacterial small subunit ribosomal RNA", at positions 82 to 707 of the family's 1533-position model. Lineage: Bacteria; Bacillati; Bacillota; Bacilli. The record is from RNAcentral.
CUCUUCUGGAUGAGUUGCGAACGGGUGAGUAACGCGCAGGUAACCUGCCUGGUAGCGGGGGAUAACUAUUGGAAACGAUAGCUAAUACCGCAUAAUAGUAGAUGUUGCAUGACAUUUGCUUAAAAGGUGCAAUUGCAUCACUACCAGAUGGACCUGCGUUGUAUUAGCUAGUUGGUGGGGUAACGGCUCACCAAGGCGACGAUACAUAGCCGACCUGAGAGGGUGAUCGGCCACACUGGGACUGAGACACGGCCCAGACUCCUACGGGAGGCAGCAGUAGGGAAUCUUCGGCAAUGGACGGAAGUCUGACCGAGCAACGCCGCGUGAGUGAAGAAGGUUUUCGGAUCGUAAAGCUCUGUUGUAAGAGAAGAACGAGUGUGAGAGUGGAAAGUUCACACUGUGACGGUAUCUUACCAGAAAGGGACGGCUAACUACGUGCCAGCAGCCGCGGUAAUACGUAGGUCCCGAGCGUUGUCCGGAUUUAUUGGGCGUAAAGCGAGCGCAGGCGGUUAGAUAAGUCUGAAGUUAAAGGCUGUGGCUUAACCAUAGUACGCUUUGGAAACUGUUUAACUUGAGUGCAAGAGGGGAGAGUGGAAUUCCAUGUGUAGCGGUGAAAUGCGUAGAUAUAUGGAGGAAC